This 492-nucleotide ribosomal RNA is filed under the name uncultured bacterium. RNAcentral's name for it is "partial 16S ribosomal RNA". It matches the Rfam family "Bacterial small subunit ribosomal RNA", at positions 29 to 507 of the family's 1533-position model. The record is from RNAcentral.
CGUGAACGCUGGCGGUAGGCCUAACACAUGCAAGUCGAACGGCAGCACAGUAAGAGCUUGCUCUUACGGGUGGCGAGUGGCGGACGGGUGAGGAAUACAUCGGAAUCUACUUUUUCGUGGGGGAUAACGGAGGGAAACUUACGCUAAUACCGCAUACGACCUACGGGUGAAAGCAGGGGAUCUUCGGACCUUGCGCGAUUGAAUGAGCCGAUGUCGGAUUAGCUAGUUGGCGGGGUAAGGGCCCACCAAGGCGACGAUCCGUAGCUGGUCUGAGAGGAUGAUCAGCCACACUGGAACUGAGACACGGUCCAGACUCCUACGGGAGGCAGCAGUGGGGAAUAUUGGACAAUGGGCGCAAGCCUGAUCCAGCCAUACCGCGUGGGUGAAGAAGGCCUUCGGGUUGUAAAGCCCUUUUGUUGGGAAAGAAAAGCAGCAGGUUAAUACCCCGCUGUUCUGACGGUACCCAAAGAAUAAGCACCGGCUAACUUCGUG